UACGUAGGGGGCGAGCGUUGUCCGGAAUUAUUGGGCGUAAAGGGCGUGUAGGCGGCCUCUUAAGUCCGGUGUGAAAGCCCCCGGCUCAACCGGGGAGGGUCACUGGAAACUGGGGGGCUUGAGAGCAGGAGAGGAGAGCGGAAUUCCACGUGUAGCGGUGAAAUGCGUAGAGAUGUGGAGGAACACCAGUGGCGAAGGCGGCUCUCUGGCCUGGCUCUGACGCUGAGGCGCGAAAGCGUGGGGAGCAAACAGG
This 253-nucleotide ribosomal RNA is filed under the name uncultured bacterium. RNAcentral describes it as "partial 16S ribosomal RNA". It matches the Rfam family "Bacterial small subunit ribosomal RNA", at positions 524 to 776 of the family's 1533-position model. The record is from RNAcentral.